GAUGAACGCUGGCGGCGUGCCUAAUACAUGCAAGUCGAGCGAACGGACGAGAAGCUUGCUUCUCUGAUGUUAGCGGCGGACGGGUGAGUAACACGUGGAUAACCUACCUAUAAGACUGGGAUAACUUCGGGAAACCGGAGCUAAUACCGGAUAAUAUUUUGAAACGCAUGGUUCAAAAGUGAAAGACGGUCUUGCUGUCACUUAUAGAUGGAUCCGCGCUGCAUUAGCUAGUUGGCAAGGUAACGGCUUACCAAGGCAACGAUGCAUAGCCGACCUGAGAGGGUGAUCGGCCACACUGGAACUGAGACACGGUCCAGACUCCUACGGGAGGCAGCAGUAGGGAAUCUUCCGCAAUGGGCGAAAGCCUGACGGAGCAACGCCGCGUGAGUGAUGAAGGUCUUCGGAUCGUAAAACUCUGUUAUUAGGGAAGAACAUAUGUGUAAGUAACUGUGCACAUCUUGACGGUACCUAAUCAGAAAGCCACGGCUAACUACGUG
Molecule: ribosomal RNA, 497 nt
Filed under: uncultured bacterium
Lineage: Bacteria
Description: partial 16S ribosomal RNA
Rfam family: Bacterial small subunit ribosomal RNA
Source: RNAcentral